This 439-nucleotide ribosomal RNA is filed under the name uncultured bacterium. RNAcentral's name for it is "partial 16S ribosomal RNA". It matches the Rfam family "Bacterial small subunit ribosomal RNA", at positions 339 to 795 of the family's 1533-position model. The record is from RNAcentral.
CUACGGGUGGCAGCAGUGAGGAAUAUUGCACAAUGGGGGAAACCCUGAUGCAGCCAUGCCGCGUGAGUGAAGAAGGCCCUAGGGUUGUAAAACUCUUUCAGCGGGGAAGAUAAUGACGGUACCCGCAGAAGAAGCUCCGGCUAACUCCGUGCCAGCAGCCGCGGUAAUACGGAGGGAGCUAGCGUUAUUCGGAAUUACUGGGCGUAAAGCGCACGUAGGCGGUCUAUAAAGCCAGAGGUGAAAGCUCGGGGCUCAACCCCGGAACUGCCUUUGGAACUCAUAGACUAGAAUUCGGUAGAGGUUGGUGGAAUUCCUAGUGUAGAGGUGAAAUUCGUAGAUAUUAGGAGGAACACCAGUGGCGAAGGCGACCAACUGGGCCGAUAUUGACGCUAAUGUGCGAAAGCGUGGGGAGCGAACAGGAUUAGAUACCCUUGUAGUC